This 299-nucleotide long non-coding RNA is filed under the name Mytilus galloprovincialis (Mediterranean mussel). Lineage: Eukaryota; Metazoa; Mollusca; Bivalvia; Mytilida; Mytilidae. The record is from RNAcentral.
AUCAGUACAAUCCUUAAGGUGGUACCUAACACUACAGGGAGAUAACUCUGUAAAAUCAGCUAAACGUUUUAAUUACAUUGUGUUGUUAAGGGAAUAUUAAGCUUCUCAAUGAUCAAAAUAAGUGUUUGUCAAACUGCUAUAUAACCAGUGUAAUUUUUCUGAUAAAACGGUUGGUUCAAAUUUUUUGAAAUUUUUAUAUUUUUGUAAAAGGGUCAAAGUAAAUACUUUGUCAAAAUUUUAAGAAAAUUAAACGACCCAAAUUAAUUUUAGCUAAAGUGUUGGGUACCACCUUAAUUUCA